AUUGAACGCUGGCGGCAUGCUUUACACAUGCAAGUCGAACGGCAGCACGGGUGCUUGCACCUGGUGGCGAGUGGCGAACGGGUGAGUAAUGCACCGGAACGUACCCAGUAAUGGGGGAUAACGCACCGAAAGGUGUGCUAAUACCGCAUACGCCCUGAGGGGGAAAGCGGGGGAUCGCAAGACCUCGCGUUAUUGGAGCGGCCGAUGCCGGAUUAGCUAGUUGGUGGGGUAAAGGCCCACCAAGGCGACGAUCCGUAGCUGGUCUGAGAGGACGACCAGCCACACUGGGACUGAGACACGGCCCAGACUCCUACGGGAGGCAGCAGUGGGGAAUUUUGGACAAUGGGGGCAACCCUGAUCCAGCCAUGCCGCGUGAGUGAAGAAGGCCUUCGGGUUGUAAAGCUCUUUCGCAAGGGAAGAAAACUUAUCUACUAAUACUAGGUGAGGCUGACGGUACCUUGAUAAGAAGCACCGGCUAACUACGUGCCAGCCGCCGCGGUAA
This 502-nucleotide ribosomal RNA is filed under the name uncultured bacterium. RNAcentral's name for it is "partial 16S ribosomal RNA". It matches the Rfam family "Bacterial small subunit ribosomal RNA", at positions 29 to 523 of the family's 1533-position model. The record is from RNAcentral.